UUCGUCCUACGGGAGGCAGCAGUGGGGAAUAUUGCACAAUGGGCGAAAGCCUGAUGCAGCAACGCCGCGUGAGCGAUGAAGGCCUUCGGGUCGUAAAGCUCUGUCCUCAAGGAAGAUAAUGACGGUACUUGAGGAGGAAGCCCCGGCUAACUACGUGCCAGCAGCCGCGGUAAUACGUAGGGGGCUAGCGUUAUCCGGAAUUACUGGGCGUAAAGGGGGCGUAGGGGGUUUCUUAAGUCAGAGGUGAAAGGCAAGGGCUCAAC
Molecule: ribosomal RNA, 263 nt
Filed under: uncultured bacterium
Lineage: Bacteria
Description: partial 16S ribosomal RNA
Rfam family: Bacterial small subunit ribosomal RNA
Source: RNAcentral